This is a long non-coding RNA of Drosophila yakuba, 1556 nucleotides long. RefSeq lists it as uncharacterized. The transcript has 2 exons. The record is from RefSeq and is a predicted model, not a curated record. Lineage: Eukaryota; Metazoa; Arthropoda; Insecta; Diptera; Drosophilidae.
UUGGCAUUGGCAAACAAGAUUUAUUUGCCUCCUUUGGGGUUAUCCAUACAUUGCCAGCCAAUAUUAAAUUGGGCAACCUAAAUUAAAGGCCACGCACUUUUAUCGGAAAAAAGGGACGUUCGCGGUCGGCUUUUUAUGGUUAAUUAAAAGCCGUGCGGCAUUCGAUUAGCAUAUUAAUUGGCAAUUCCCGACAAUGUCCUAUCAAUCGCUGCCACAAGCUUUAAAUUAAUUAAUUAACUUUCGAUGUAAACAUUUGUUCAAUCAGUGCCCCUCUCAAAAUAGAAAACUGACUGCGAGUCACACUGAAGUUUGUAUGCUGAAAUGUUAUUCACUUUCAGCCAGCUGUGUUUGUUUUUAUCCGCAGUCAAAUGACGUAUACGCCGCGUGGCACUGUUCGAGUGGCAAAGGGCCCCAGGUGCUGUUUUAAUUACCCCGAUGUAUCUACACGCGUCGACAAUCAAAGAAUUCUAUUUCAGAUCAUCAUUAGAAAUAUAUAUUUUCUGCCAUGAACCAGUUACACGUGCGUCUAAUUGGCAGCAGACCGUCAGUGAUAGGCAACAUUUGAAUUGGUAUUUCGCCAUCGAUGCAUUCAGUUAAGUUUUAAUUUCAACUGGCUUUAUAAUUUCGCACGUGCCACACAACCUCAGCUCAGUACGCUCAAUCUCUUUAUCCUUGGCCAUUUGCAUAUCCCGAUUGCAUUGCAUUUGCAGCCAUUGCCACUUCAAUCUCUGGCGGUAUGUUUAUUCAUUUAUCAGUCCCGAAGCGCAGAUGUUUCAGCUUGACAAACAUUAACUAACUGCGAUGCACAAGGCGAUGGCACAAGCUAAACAUGGCGUAUAUGCAAUAAGUAAGCUAGACUAAGCUAAACAAAACAUUUGCAAUCAGGGACUUGUACAACAACAUGGGCAAAUGCAAGGCCACGCCGAAAAUGUCAACACAAUAUCACGCAUACGCACGGUGGGCCAUACGUUUGAGUGAACAACGCCAUUGUGCAAAGCGGGUGUUUGCAAUCAGUUUUCUGGAGCCUAAGUUGACAUGGCCCCCUGUCAAGUCAAAAGGAAAUCUGCUUUGACAGCAGUAAGGGAACCGAACCGAAAAAAUAAGCAACAAAGGAGACUGGGGGCUGGGAUAAAAGGUGUCACCACAACUUUGAUAUGUGAAAGUGAACACUGAUGUUUGUCACUCAAGUGAAAGGCUUUAAGGAAAGACCGCAAAAAAGUGGUUUAUGACGACAGAUGAACGCAAGAAUUUCUUACACAAAAGAUGUGAAUUUUAUCAAUUUAUACGUUAGCCACAACUAUGAAUUGUCAACAUGAAUGAGCUUUGAUAAGAAUGUAAUCAGCAGGGCGCAAAUACCCUUCCAAGUUUUAUGCCAUAAUUACAGUUAGAGGAAACGGAAAAAAAAUGAAUCAAUCAAUCAAUCAAUACACAGCAGCUGUGAACGAGAACUUUUCAACUCCCCACGGAAAUUCACGGUGAAAUACAUCAAAUUUUGUGUGUCAACAGCAGCCACCACUGAUGUACCUGUAUUAUGUAAAAUAAAGAAUUUCUUUUAA